Pecten maximus is the source of this 1530-nucleotide long non-coding RNA. RefSeq lists it as uncharacterized. NCBI's taxonomy places the organism in Eukaryota, Metazoa, Mollusca, Bivalvia, Pectinida, Pectinidae. The record is from RefSeq and is a predicted model, not a curated record. The transcript is spliced from 3 exons.
GAAUGAUGAUCAACAACAAACUUGUAUUCACUGUGCUGUUCGUAAUGACGUCUUUUCUCUGCUUAUGUACCGAUCCGGUCAAAGGUCAGUGGAGUUGUCAGUGUGCUAGAGGUUGUAGAGGAUUCCAUAUGGGAUACUGCAGGCCAUAUGACGGAAGGAUUCGAUGCUGUACAAUGGGGUCGAUCGGCGGAACUGGAGGUCUGUGAUGCAAAGCAGUUGAGCCAAUCUUGUGUUAAGUGGUAACUGACCUCUGUUCUAUGAUAAAAACACAUAUAUUUGUUUGAUAAAAGGUCAUUCUAUUUUUAGAUACCGAUACAUCUUGUUGUAACUUAGUCGUAAGGCUUACACGAUAGUUACUCCAACCAAACUACACAUUCAUCUUAGUGAAAACCAUAAUUUGGUCUUUUUUUUAAAAAGACGUAAAAUUUGAAUAAAGUUCUCAAUAACACUCAUUCAUAGGACUUUUCAUUUUAUAGAUUCUUCUGCACAAAUCUACAGUCACCAAACUGUCUCGAUUACAAACUAUUUCACCAUACUGUCUAAGUACUUGUAACUGAAUAAAGUUCUACAUGUAUACCUUUUGUGGAGAAUUGGGCUCUACUUUGUGCCUUGAGAAUGUUUUUCAUAAAAAUACAUUCAAUUUCAAACAAUUCUUUUAACAUGAAAACUGAUGACAAUAGGAUUGGUUACAGGGCAGCGUCAAUUAAAGUCCUUUCCGAAACAUAAAAACACAGUGGUACAAGAUAAAGUACAUUUUAUUAACAUAUAACAUAUUUAGUCAUAAGAUAAUUGAUAAAUUACAGUAUUGUGUAAGGGAAGCAACUCGUAUACAAACUGCAUAAACUUGAUUUAUGUAUACAUCAAUUGGCAAAUAUUGGAUGUGUUGGUGUUUUCUCGCCUCAACAGAUCCAUGUCAAAAGAAGUCACUAUAUUGUUUAAAGAUUCUACAUCAUCGACAGAGUUAUGACCGAUUUAAAACAAUCGGCUGUUAUAUAUUUAUAUCAUAGAAUACCCAAAGUUUACUUCUUUAUGCUAUUACUAAACGCUUGAGCGUAUAAUGGUAUCUUUUGAAUUUAAAUCGGAAAAAUAAUUAAUUGCAUCCCGAAGGAAUUUCAUCUUGCUCCGCCUCUACCAAAUUAUUGGGUUGACUUUUUCGUGAGAUACGCGAAGUAGGCGAUCCCAAUUGUGCGUAGACAUCGAGAAGAAGAAAAAAAAAUCAUAUAGUUGCAACAAGUAUCAACGAAUAAAAAAUGCAGGCAUAAAAACAACUCCAGGAAAAAUGACUACUUUUGUUAUAAAAGAAACACAAAAAUCAUCGGGAUUCGAAUUUGUUACUAAGUUGAUAAAUGGCAUUGGCAACAACAUGUUUCUUCCCACAGCUGUCCUGAUAUAUAACAAUUUUUCACUGGUUAGGUCACUUAAGAAAAAACAUAUCAUUAUUGAAUGUCUAUUUAUCAUUUGUUUUUCAGAAAAGCAUCAUUACAAAUGGGUCAGUGUAACAGAUUUUACUGGAGUGGGGAGCAAUGUGUA